RNAcentral lists this ribosomal RNA (640 nucleotides) under uncultured bacterium. RNAcentral describes it as "bacterial SSU rRNA". It matches the Rfam family "Bacterial small subunit ribosomal RNA", at positions 391 to 1047 of the family's 1533-position model. The record is from RNAcentral.
GCGACGCCGCGUGGGGGAUGAAGGCCUUCGGGUUGUAAACCCCUUUCACCAGGAGCGAAUCCAGACGGUACCUGGGGAAGAAGCGCCGGCUAACUACGUGCCAGCAGCCGCGGUAAUACGUAGGGCGCGAGCGUUGUCCGGAAUUAUUGGGCGUAAAGAGCUCGUAGGCGGCCUGUCGCGUCCGCUGUGAAAUCCUGGGGCUUAACCCCGGGCCUGCAGUGGAUACGGGCUGGCUAGAGGCAGGCAGGGGAGAACGGAAUUCCCGGUGUAGCGGUGAAAUGCGCAGAUAUCGGGAGGAACACCGGUGGCGAAGGCGGUUCUCUGGGCCUGUUCUGACGCUGAGGAGCGAAAGCGUGGGGAGCAAACAGGAUUAGAUACCCUGGUAGUCCACGCCGUAAACGUUGGGCGCUAGGUGUGGGGCCCUUCCACGGGCUCUGUGCCGCAGCUAACGCAUUAAGCGCCCCGCCUGGGGAGUACGGCCGCAAGGCUAAAACUCAAAAGAAUUGACGGGGGGCCCGCACAAGCGGCGGAGCAUGUUGCUUAAUUCGAACGCAACGCGAANACCUUACCAANGUUUGACGUGGCCGGAAAGAGCCGCNNAGAUGCGGUGUCCUUCGGGGUCGNUCACAGGUGGUGCAUG